AAGAUUUUAAGUUAUUUUAAACUAUAUACCUUCAAAGUAUAAAAAAUUUAUUAAAUAAAUCUUA
RNAcentral lists this transfer RNA (64 nucleotides) under Allothyrus sp. LamingtonNP-QMS95173. Its description in RNAcentral is "tRNA-Trp". Lineage: Eukaryota; Metazoa; Arthropoda; Arachnida; Holothyrida; Allothyridae. The record is from RNAcentral.